RNAcentral lists this unclassified non-coding RNA (240 nucleotides) under soil metagenome. Its description in RNAcentral is "partial contains 5.8S ribosomal RNA, internal transcribed spacer 2, and large subunit ribosomal RNA". The record is from RNAcentral.
AACCUAGCACACCUGCGGUGUGUACCUGCGGAAGGAUCAUUACCGAGUGCGGGUCCUCGUGGCCCAACCUCCCACCCGUGACUAUUGUACCUUGUUGCUUCGGCGGGCCCGCCAGCCCUGCUGGCCGCCGGGGGGCGUCUCGCCCCCGGGCCCGUGCCCGCCGGAGACCCCAACAUGAACCCUGUUCUGAAAGCUUGCAGUCUGAGUGUGAUUCUUUGCAAUCAGUUAAAACUUUUAGCA